Molecule: RNA transcript, 337 nt
Organism: Mus pahari (shrew mouse)
Lineage: Eukaryota; Metazoa; Chordata; Mammalia; Rodentia; Muridae
Gene name: prothymosin alpha pseudogene
Exons: 1
Source: RefSeq, a predicted model, not a curated record
AUGGACACCAGCUCCAAGAUCACCACCAAGGACCUAAAGGAGAAGAAGGAAGUUGUGGAGAAGGCAGAGAAUGGAAGAGAUGCACCUGCCAAUGGGAACGAUCAAAAUGAGGAAAAUGGGGAGCAGGAGGCUGACAAUGAGGUAGAUGAAGAAGAGGAAGAAGGUGGGGAGGAAGAGGAGGAGGAAGAAGGUGACGGUGAGGAAGAGGAUGGAGAUAAAGAUGCGGAAACUGAGGCUCCUAAGGGCAAGCGGGUAGCUUAGGAUGAUGAGGAUGACGAUGUCGACACCAAGAAACAGAAGACCGAGGAGGAUGACUAGACAGCAAAAGGAAAAGUAA